Molecule: long non-coding RNA, 1550 nt
Organism: Oryctolagus cuniculus (rabbit)
Lineage: Eukaryota; Metazoa; Chordata; Mammalia; Lagomorpha; Leporidae
Source: Ensembl
UAUGAAUUCCAGAUUUGAUUUCAGACUCUGGGGAUGUAUAUUCCUCUUUUGGAACUUGUAUAUCCGGUCCUGGGAUGAAAAAAAGGUGGGGGGGGGAGGGAAGGGGGAGGGUCCCCAGCAUAACAAGCAUUCCUUGUGCUCCUUCUCUUUCACACGCUGAGCACGCCGGGAGGGACGAGAGCGCACACACACACGCACAGCGUCUGGAUAAACUCAGCCCGAUGCGCUUCGGAACUCAGAAGGACUUCAUUCUAAAACAGUGCUGAAGAACGUGAAGCACGAGGGUUCAGAAAGUUCACAAUGUGUAUCCUGAAAAGACUUACGCGUGGAUUUCAAAUUUUCGCACCAAAAUAAACUUAGCUUUGAAUUCCAUUUUCCACACACUUGCUCAAGUGCCCACCUAUAGUAACUUUCCUUUGAUCAGGUUGAUGUUUCCAAAGCGCUAGUCCCUUGGAUGCUGGCCUGGGGCGACCGUCCCGUGGAUGGCUUGUGCUUCAUUUCAUGAAUGACCAUUGAACAAGCUGGUUCUGAAUGCCUAGCCGGGUCCUGCAAGCUGCUUUUCUGGAAAAAUAAUUCGUGGCUCGCUCUGAAACAUCUGCUCUGAGCGACUUCCCAUGCUCCAAUGUACUCCUUUGGAGAUUACAACUCAGAUUGUACUUGCUGCGGUCUCGCACUUGGAUGACUCACGUUAGCCUCGUUGCUACUCCUCUGUUGCCCGCACUUCCUGUGAGAAGCAGCUACCGUGGCCUGGGAGAACCAUCAGAGAAGAUGGGGACCCCAGCUGCUCAGAGAGCCGACUGGAACUUGACCUCGCAGCUGGCACAUUUAACACAGACCCAAACAAUGCCAAACGUCUCAGCCGUGUGGAUGGUUCUGUUCUGUGCAACCGUACCCCUGAGUUUUCAACCAGCAGUCAAAGACAUCAUGAACCUGCCCACUACAUCAGCUGCAUGUGAGGCUCGGAAGCCGCAUAGCUUCCAGCAUCCCUUUCCGACACCUCCAACAGUAAUUGACACUGUUGGACACCAGCUCAAUCAUGGCUGCUCCGCUCCGAUCCUUAUUGUGCCUAGAAAAGCAGCAGAUGAUGGUUCAAGUGCUUAGGCCUCUGCCACCACAUGGGAGGCCUGAAUGGAGUUCCAGGCGCCUGGCUUCAACCUGGCCCAGUGCUGGCUGUUGCACUCAUCUGGGGAGUGAACCAGUGGAUGGAAGAUCGAACUUUCUCUCACUCUCUCUCUGUCUCCGUCUCUCCCUCCCUCUCUCUUUCUCUGAUGCUCUGGGUUUCAAGUAAAUAAUACAAAUCUUAAAAAAAAAAAAAAAAAAAACAACUUGGUACUCUAAGAAAAUGGUUUUGUCAAUUUCAUAUAAAGAUUGUGCUGUGCAUACACAUGUGACUGUGACAUGUCCUUUAUGUAUCAAAGUCGGCCUCUGGGUUUUGCCUUUGUAUCUGUUUUUCUUAUUUAUUUUCAUUAGCUGCCUCCCCUUUGUGUGUGUGGAAAGGAAGAAAGCAUACUGCAAAUAAAUAGGUCUAGAGGGUGUUUUCUUGUUCUGAG